This 382-nucleotide transfer-messenger RNA is filed under the name Ilumatobacteraceae. RNAcentral's name for it is "UBA2093 sp016870215 Standard tmRNA". It matches the Rfam family "transfer-messenger RNA". From Rfam's summary of the family: Bacterial tmRNA, also known as 10Sa RNA or SsrA, is named for its dual tRNA and mRNA-like properties. Its role is to liberate the mRNA from a stalled ribosome. The record is from RNAcentral. RNAcentral also lists the same sequence under 1 other name. Lineage: Bacteria; Bacillati; Actinomycetota; Acidimicrobiia; Acidimicrobiales.
GGGGCUGCCUGGUUUCGACGUCAGUUUCGGUGGGCGGGCGUGCGACUCGAGUGGCUCAGACUCGUUAAACGGGGCACAAACAAGAAUUGCCAACGAGCAGUUCGCUCUCGCCGCCUGAUUUAUUCAGGUGACUGAGAGACAUCGUGACCAGCAAUGGCGCACGGGGCCAAUCCAUCGCAGCCCGGCAACAGAAGCGAAGGAUGACGGCAGGAAAGAACGCUGGCAGCUGGAAAGAACGCUGACAUGUCGGAAAGACGACACGCGAUCCCGCAAGGGAUAGUCGACCCGCCGACAGUGUUGCGUCAGCACUAAUGCGGGGAUAGUCGUAUCACGAUCGUUCAGCGCCUGAUGGACGGGGGUUCGAUUCCCCCCAGCUCCACCA